Molecule: ribosomal RNA, 497 nt
Filed under: uncultured bacterium
Lineage: Bacteria
Description: partial 16S ribosomal RNA
Rfam family: Bacterial small subunit ribosomal RNA
Source: RNAcentral
GAUGAACGCUGGCGGCGUGCCUAAUACAUGCCAGUCGAGCGAACAGACGAGGAGCUUGCUCCUCUGACGUUAGCGGCGGACGGGCGAGUAACACGUGGAUAACCUACCUAUAAGACUGGGAUAACUUCGGGAAACCGGAGCUAAUACCGGAUAAUAUAUUGAACCGCAUGGUUCAAUAGUGAAAGACGGUUUUGCUGUCACUUAUAGAUGGAUCCGCGCCGCAUUAGCUAGUUGGUAAGGUAACGGCUUACCAAGGCAACGAUGCGUAGCCGACCUGAGAGGGUGAUCGGCCACACUGGAACUGAGACACGGUCCAGACUCCUACGGGAGGCAGCAGUAGGGAAUCUUCCGCAAUGGGCGAAAGCCUGACGGAGCAACGCCGCGUGAGUGAUGAAGGUCUUCGGAUCGUAAAACUCUGUUAUUAGGGAAGAACAAAUGUGUAAGUAACUAUGCACGUCUUGACGGUACCUAAUCAGAAAGCCACGGCUAACUACGUG